UACGAAGGGGGCUAGCGUUGUUCGGAAUCACUGGGCGUAAAGGGCGCGUAGGCGGCGCGGUAAGUCACUUGUGAAAUCUCUGAGCUUAACUCAGAACGGCCAAGUGAUACUGCAGUGCUAGAGUGCAGAAGGGGCAAUCGGAAUUCUUGGUGUAGCGGUGAAAUGCGUAGAUAUCAAGAGGAACACCUGAGGUGAAGACGGGUUGCUGGGCUGACACUGACGCUGAGGCGCGAAAGCCAGGGGAGCAAACGGG
This 253-nucleotide ribosomal RNA is filed under the name uncultured bacterium. RNAcentral's name for it is "partial 16S ribosomal RNA". It matches the Rfam family "Bacterial small subunit ribosomal RNA", at positions 524 to 776 of the family's 1533-position model. The record is from RNAcentral.